RNAcentral lists this unclassified non-coding RNA (259 nucleotides) under Hevea brasiliensis (rubber tree). Lineage: Eukaryota; Viridiplantae; Streptophyta; Magnoliopsida; Malpighiales; Euphorbiaceae. The record is from RNAcentral.
GCUUCCAGCUGAAAGCGCUCUGUGGUGGUGAUCUUUCUUGACAUCAAGUAGUUGUAAACUCAUCAAUCUUCUAUUUUGAAGCUCAAGUGCUUGUUGCAAAUCAGCUUGUUCCUCUAGUUUCCUCCUCCAAAACAUGUCUUCAGGAAUGCAAAACAUUUUUGCUCCAAGCUGGAGAUCAAAAGGUUCUCUUGAAUCAAGACAAGUAAGGGUAGCACAUGGUGAGAACUCUCCCCUCUCUGCUUGCAGCUGCUGUUGCUUC